AUUGAACGCUGGCGGCAUGCCUUACACAUGCAAGUCGAACGGCAGCAUGAUCUAGCUUGCUCGAUUGAUGGCGAGUGGCGAACGGGUGAGUAAUACAUCGGAACGUGCCCUGUAGUUGGGGAUAACUAGUCGAAAGAUUAGCUAAUACCGCAUACUACCUGAGGGUGAAAGUGGGGGACCGCAAUGCCUCAUGCUAUAGGAGCGGCCGAUGUCUGAUUAGCUAGUUGGUGAGGUAAAGGCUCACCAAGGCGACGAUCAGUAGCUGGUCUGAGAGGACGAUCAGCCACACUGGGACUGAGACACGGCCCAGACUCCUACGGGAGGCAGCAGUGGGGAAUUUUGGACAAUGGGCGAAAGCCUGAUCCAGCAAUGCCGCGUGUGUGAAGAAGGCCUUCGGGUUGUAAAGCACUUUUGUCCGGAAAGAAAUGGCUCUGGUUAAUACCUGGGGUCGAUGACGGUACCGGAAGAAUAAGAACCGGCUAACUACGUG
This 490-nucleotide ribosomal RNA is filed under the name uncultured bacterium. RNAcentral describes it as "partial 16S ribosomal RNA". It matches the Rfam family "Bacterial small subunit ribosomal RNA", at positions 30 to 507 of the family's 1533-position model. The record is from RNAcentral.